RNAcentral lists this ribosomal RNA (617 nucleotides) under uncultured bacterium. Its description in RNAcentral is "bacterial SSU rRNA". It matches the Rfam family "Bacterial small subunit ribosomal RNA", at positions 338 to 945 of the family's 1533-position model. The record is from RNAcentral.
CCUACGGGAGGGCAGCAGUGGGGAAUAUUGGACAAUGGGGGAAACCCUGAUCCAGCGACGCCGCGUGUGUGAAGAAGGCCUGCGGGUUGUAAAGCACUUUUAGUGGGGAAGAAAAUUUCAGGGCGAAUACCCUUGGAACUUGACCUAACCCAAAGAAAAAGCACCGGCUAACUCUGUGCCAGCAGCCGCGGUAAUACAGAGGGUGCAAGCGUUAAUCGGAAUUACUGGGCGUAAAGCGUGCGUAGGUGGUUAUCUAAGUCGGAUGUGAAAUCCCCGGGCUCAACCUGGGAAUUGCACUCGAUACUGGGUAGCUAGAGUUCGGCAGAGGGAAGUGGAAUUUCCGGUGUAGCGGUGAAAUGCGUAGAUAUCGGAAGGAACAUCAGUGGCGAAAGCGACUUCCUGGACCAGAACUGACGCUCAAGUACGAAAGCGUGGGGAGCAAACAGGAUUAGAUACCCUGGUAGUCCACGCCAUAAACGAUGACAACUAGACGUUGGAGGGUAAGCCUUUCAGUGUCGCAGCUAACGCGUUAAGUUGUCCGCCUGGGGAGUACGGCCGCAAGGUUGAAACUCAAAUGAAUUGACGGCUGAGACNGCGACGACGACGACGAGGAGAGG